This is a non-coding RNA of Oryza nivara, 208 nucleotides long. NCBI's taxonomy places the organism in Eukaryota, Viridiplantae, Streptophyta, Magnoliopsida, Poales, Poaceae. The record is from Rfam.
AAUAAGUACAGUUUUGCACUGUUCACGUUCAACGUUUAACCGUUCGUCUUAUUUAUAAAUUUUUUAUGAUUAGUAUUUUUAUUGCUAUUAGAUAAUAAAACAUGACUAUUACUUUAUGUGUGACUGAAUAUUUUUAAAUUUCUCACAAAAUUUUCAAAUAAGACGGACGGUCAAAUAUUGGGCACGGAUAUACACGGCUGCAUUUAUU